GUCUAUGGCCAUGCUACCCUGAACAAGCCAGAUCCGUCUUAUCUCGGAAGCUAAGCAGGGUUGGGCCUGGUUAGUACUUGGAUGGGAGACCACCUAGGAAGACCAGGUGCUGUAGGCA
Molecule: ribosomal RNA, 118 nt
Filed under: Pteropus alecto (black flying fox)
Lineage: Eukaryota; Metazoa; Chordata; Mammalia; Chiroptera; Pteropodidae
Also listed under: 1 other name
Source: RNAcentral